Molecule: ribosomal RNA, 220 nt
Filed under: uncultured bacterium
Lineage: Bacteria
Description: partial 16S ribosomal RNA
Rfam family: Bacterial small subunit ribosomal RNA
Source: RNAcentral
ACGUCUCAGUUCGGACUGUAGUCUGCAACCCGACUACACGAAGCUGGAAUCGCUAGUAAUCGCGAAUCAGAAUGUCGCGGUGAAUACGUUCCCGGGCCUUGUACACACCGCCCGUCACACCAUGAGAGUUGGCAAUACCCAACGUACGUGAUCUAACCCGCAAGGGAGGAAGCGUCCUAAGGUAGGGUCAGCGAUUGGGGUGAAGUCGUAACAAGGUACC